This 492-nucleotide ribosomal RNA is filed under the name uncultured bacterium. RNAcentral describes it as "partial 16S ribosomal RNA". It matches the Rfam family "Bacterial small subunit ribosomal RNA", at positions 29 to 507 of the family's 1533-position model. The record is from RNAcentral.
AGUGAACGCUGGCGGUAGGCCUAACACAUGCAAGUCGAACGGCAGCACAGUAAGAGCUUGCUCUUACGGGUGGCGAGUGGCGGACGGGUGAGGAAUACAUCGGAAUCUACUUUUUCGUGGGGGAUAACGUAGGGAAACUUACGCUAAUACCGCAUACGACCUACGGGUGAAAGCAGGGGAUCUUCGGACCUUGCGCGAUUGAAUGAGCCGAUGUCGGAUUAGCUAGUUGGCGGGGUAAAGGCCCACCAAGUCGACGAUCCGUAGCUGGUCUGAGAGGAUGAUCAGCCACACUGGAACUGAGACACGGUCCAGACGCCUACGGGAGGCAGCAGUGGGGAAUAUUGGACAAUGGGCGCAAGCCUGAUCCAGCCAUACCGCGUGGGUGAAGAAGGCCUUCGGGUUGUAAAGCCCUUUUGUUGGGAAAGAAAAGCAGCAGGUUAAUACCCCGCUGUUCUGACGGUACCCAAAGAAUAAGCACCGGCUAACUUCGUG